RNAcentral lists this ribosomal RNA (1012 nucleotides) under uncultured bacterium. RNAcentral's name for it is "bacterial SSU rRNA". It matches the Rfam family "Bacterial small subunit ribosomal RNA", at positions 28 to 1044 of the family's 1533-position model. The record is from RNAcentral.
GAUGAACGCUAGCUACAGGCUUAACACAUGCAAGUCGAGGGGCAGCAUGACUUAGCAAUAGGUUGAUGGCGACCGGCGCACGGGUGAGUAACACGUAUCCAACCUGCCGAUUAUUCCGGGAUAGCCUUUCGAAAGAAAGAUUAAUACUGGAUAGCAUAACGAGAAGGCAUCUUCUUGUUAUUAAAGAAUUUCGAUAAUCGAUGGGGAUGCGUUCCAUUAGUUUGUUGGCGGGGUAACGGCCCACCAAGACAUCGAUGGAUAGGGGUUCUGAGAGGAAGGUCCCCCACAUUGGAACUGAGACACGGUCCAAACUCCUACGGGAGGCAGCAGUGAGGAAUAUUGGUCAAUGGACGAGAGUCUGAACCAGCCAAGUAGCGUGAAGGAUGACUGCCCUAUGGGUUGUAAACUUCUUUUAUAUGGGAAUAAAGUGGGCCACGUGUGGCCUUUUGUAUGUACCAUACGAAUAAGGAUCGGCUAACUCCGUGCCAGCAGCCGCGGUAAUACGGAGGAUCCGAGCGUUAUCCGGAUUUAUUGGGUUUAAAGGGAGCGUAGGCGGAUUAUUAAGUCAGUUGUGAAAGUUUGCGGCUCAACCGUAAAAUUGCAGUUGAUACUGGUAGUCUUGAGUGCAGCAGAGGUAGGCGGAAUUCGUGGUGUAGCGGUGAAGUGCUUAGAUAUCACGAAGAACUCCGAUUGCGAAGGCAGCUUACUGGACUGUAACUGACGCUGAUGCUCGAAAGUGUGGGUAUCAAACAGGAUUAGAUACCCUGGUAGUCCACACAGUAAACGAUGAAUACUCGCUGUUUGCGAUAUACGGCAAGCGGCCAAGCGAAAGCAUUAAGUAUUCCACCUGGGGAGUACGCCGGCANCGGUGAAACUCAAAGGAANUGACGGGGGCCCGCACNAGCNGAGGACAUGGUGGUUUAAAUUCGAUGAUACGCGAGGAACCUUACCCGGGCUUAAUGCAACUGACGGAUUUGGAAACAGAUCUCCUUCGGGCAGUUGUGAGUGCUGC